GACGGAGGAUGCAAGUGUUAUCCGGAAUCACUGGGCGUAAAGCGUCUGUAGGUGGUUUAAUAAGUCAACUGUUAAAUCUUGAGGCUCAACCUCAAAAUCGCAGUCGAAACUAUUAGGCUAGAGUAUAGUGGGGGUAAAGGGAAUUUCCAGUGGAGCGGUGAAAUGCGUAGAGAUUGGAAAGAACACCGAUGGCGAAGGCACUUUACUGGGCUAUUACUAACACUCAGAGACGAGAGCUAGGGUAGCAAAUGGG
This 253-nucleotide ribosomal RNA is filed under the name uncultured bacterium. Its description in RNAcentral is "partial 16S ribosomal RNA". It matches the Rfam family "Bacterial small subunit ribosomal RNA", at positions 524 to 776 of the family's 1533-position model. The record is from RNAcentral.